RNAcentral lists this ribosomal RNA (506 nucleotides) under uncultured bacterium. Its description in RNAcentral is "partial 16S ribosomal RNA". It matches the Rfam family "Bacterial small subunit ribosomal RNA", at positions 29 to 523 of the family's 1533-position model. The record is from RNAcentral.
AGUGAACGCUGGCGGUAGGCCUAACACAUGCAAGUCGAACGGCAGCACAGGAGAGCUUGCUCUCUGGGUGGCGAGUGGCGGACGGGUGAGGAAUACAUCGGAAUCUACUUUUUCGUGGGGGAUAACGUAGGGAAACUUACGCUAAUACCGCAUACGACCUACGGGUGAAUGCAGGGGAUCUUCGGACCUUGCGCGAUUGAAUGAGCCGGUGUCGGAUUAGCUAGUUGGCGGGGUAAAGGCCCACCAAGGCGACGAUCCGUAGCUGGUCUGAGAGGAUGAUCAGCCGCACUGGAACUGAGACACGGUCCAGACUCCUACGGGAGGCAGCAGUGGGGAAUAUUGGACAAUGGGCGCAAGCCUGAUCCAGCCAUACCGCGUGGGUGAAGAAGGCCUUCGGGUUGUAAAGCCCUUUUGUUGGGAAAGAAAUCCAGCUGGUUAAUACCCGGUUGGGAUGACGGUACCCAAAGAAUAAGCACCGGCUAACUUCGUGCCAGCCGCCGCGGUAA